RNAcentral lists this ribosomal RNA (1160 nucleotides) under Pseudonocardia sp. ACTINO3. Its description in RNAcentral is "bacterial SSU rRNA". It matches the Rfam family "Bacterial small subunit ribosomal RNA", at positions 37 to 1212 of the family's 1533-position model. Lineage: Bacteria; Bacillati; Actinomycetota; Actinomycetes; Pseudonocardiales; Pseudonocardiaceae. The record is from RNAcentral.
UGGCGGCGUGCUUAACACAUGCAAGUCGAGCGGUAAGGCCCUUUCGGGGGUACACGAGCGGCGAACGGGUGAGUAACACGUGGGUGACCUGCCCUCAGCUCUGGGAUAAGCCUGGGAAACUGGGUCUAAUACCGGAUAUGACUACCUAUCGCAUGGUGGGUGGUGGAAAGUUUUUCGGCUGGGGAUGGGCCCGCGGCCUAUCAGCUUGUUGGUGGGGUGAUGGCCUACCAAGGCGACGACGGGUAGCCGGCCUGAGAGGGCGACCGGCCACACUGGGACUGAGACACGGCCCAGACUCCUACGGGAGGCAGCAGUGGGGAAUAUUGCGCAAUGGGCGGAAGCCUGACGCAGCAACGCCGCGUGGGGGAUGACGGCCUUCGGGUUGUAAACCUCUUUCGAUCCCGACGAAGCGUAAGUGACGGUAGGGGUAGAAGAAGCACCGGCCAACUACGUGCCAGCAGCCGCGGUAAUACGUAGGGUGCGAGCGUUGUCCGGAAUUAUUGGGCGUAAAGAGCUCGUAGGCGGUGUGUCACGUCGGUCGUGAAAACCUCAGGCUUAACUUGGGGCUUGCGGUCGAUACGGGCAUCACUUGAGUUCGGCAGGGGAGACUGGAAUUCCUGGUGUAGCGGUGAAAUGCGCAGAUAUCAGGAGGAACACCGGUGGCGAAGGCGGGUCUCUGGGCCGAUACUGACGCUGAGGAGCGAAAGCGUGGGGAGCGAACAGGAUUAGAUACCCUGGUAGUCCACGCCGUAAACGGUGGGCACUAGGUGUGGGGGCCAUUCCACGGUCUCUGUGCCGCAGCUAACGCAUUAAGUGCCCCGCCUGGGGAGUACGGCCGCAAGGCUAAAACUCAAAGAAAUUGACGGGGGCCCGCACAAGCGGCGGAGCAUGUGGAUUAAUUCGAUGCAACGCGAAGAACCUUACCUGGGUUUGACAUGCACCAGACAGCCUGAGAGAUCAGGUUUCCCUUGUGGUUGGUGUGCAGGUGGUGCAUGGCUGUCGUCAGCUCGUGUCGUGAGAUGUUGGGUUAAGUCCCGCAACGAGCGCAACCCUCGUUCUAUGUUGCCAGCGCGUUAUGGCGGGGACUCAUAGGAGACUGCCGGGGUCAACUCGGAGGAAGGUGGGGAUGACGUCAAGUCAUCAUGCCCCUUAAGUCCAGG